Molecule: ribosomal RNA, 274 nt
Filed under: uncultured bacterium
Lineage: Bacteria
Description: partial 16S ribosomal RNA
Rfam family: Bacterial small subunit ribosomal RNA
Source: RNAcentral
AGACGGAGGGUGCAAGCGUUAAUCGGAAUUACUGGGCGUAAAGCGCUCGUAGGCGGCUUGUUAAGUCGGAUGUGAAAGCCCCGGGCUCAACCUGGGAACUGCAUUCGAUACUGGCAGGCUAGAGUAUACUAGAGGCAAGUGGAAUUCCGGGUGUAGCGGUGAAAUGCGUAGAUAUCCGGAGGAACAUCAGUGGCGAAGGCGACUUGCUGGACUAAUACUGACGCUGAGGAGCGAAAGCGUGGGGAGCAAACAGCAUUAGAAACCCCAGUAGUCC